This 478-nucleotide ribosomal RNA is filed under the name uncultured bacterium. RNAcentral's name for it is "partial 16S ribosomal RNA". It matches the Rfam family "Bacterial small subunit ribosomal RNA", at positions 28 to 523 of the family's 1533-position model. The record is from RNAcentral.
GACGAACGCUGGCGGCGUGCUUAACACAUGCAAGUCGAACGGUAAGGCCCUUCGGGGUACACGAGUGGCGAACGGGUGAGUAACACGUGGGUGAUCUGCCCUGCACUUCGGGAUAAGCCUGGGAAACUGGGUCUAAUACCGGAUAGGACUCCUGGCUUCAUGGUUGGGGGUGGAAAGCUUUUGCGGUGUGGGAUGGGCCCGCGGCCUAUCAGCUUGUUGGUGGGGUAAUGUCCUACCAAGGCGACGACGGGUAGCCGGCCUGAGAGGGUGACCGGUAACACUGGGACUGAGAUACGGCCCAGACUCCUACGGGAGGCAGCAGUGGGGAAUAUUGCACAAUGGGCGCAAGCCUGAUGAAGCGACGCCGCGUGAGGGAUGACGGCCUUCGGGUUGUAAACCUCUUUCAGCUAUGACGAAGCGCAAGUGACGGUAGUAGCAGAAGAAGGACCGGCCAACUACGUGCCAGCAGCCGCCGUAA